UUUGAGACAAAUGCCAAACACAAUAGCCAUGUCUCGCGUUUGGAAACACUUGCAUAAUUGAUUUGAUGAUGCCUGAUGUCUAUCACUCACAAAAACCAAAUCUGGUUCAUCUGGUAUAACUGUUUUCAGCUUGUUAAAGAACCACGACUAACUAGCAUCGUUUUCCCUAUCAAUUACAGCAGACGCAAUGAUAUAAUUGUGAUGAUUAGGAUCUUGGGCUGUUGCAAAAACUAGCAUACCGCCGUAUACGGUCUUAAGAAAAGUGGCAUCCACAAUAACAACUUUCCUCAUAACUUUGAACCCUUCAAUGCAAGCACCCAAAGCAACGAAUAAGUACUUGAACUUUUGUUGUGCAUCCACUUCCACAUAUGAUAUUGUCCCGGGAUUCACCUCCUUUAAUACGUGCAGAUAAGAGUACAAGUCGGUGUAGCUUUUUCAGGACUACCACGCACAUCACUAACGUGUUGUCUUUUCCCUCUCCAUGCGGUAGCAUACGAGCAAUGCAAACCCAUUCUUCCCCGAACAAUACUCAUUAUGCUUUUAGGUGGUGGAGUUUGAAACUCACCUGGAUAAUCCUCAUGCAAAAUAGACGCGAUUAAUCGUGGUGUGCCGGUAUGUUUACAAUUGCCUGAGUUCUUAUUAGACCGCUUGCAUGUGUGCAUCUUCCUGUGAACUCUAACACUAAAACAAUCUGAACUCUUUACUUUUGCACAUCGUAAAUACCAUCGACAACCUGUUGUUUUAGAUUGCCGACAUCGUAACAUGAGUCGCUGUGGAUCUGACGCUAUAGUUGCGGUCGCAAAACAAUACUUAUUUGCAGCUCUGUUAACCAAAUCUUGCACGACCUCUUUAGAAACAAAUUCUUGGUGCAAUUCAAUCCCCGUUCCAUCUUCCCAUUCCGUAACACUCUGACUUUUCUCACUACUCUGACUGCCUUCACCAACACAUGGAAGCUCAUAAUACUCAAUUCUACCAUCAACACCAUUAUCUUCAGCAACAUCCAUCCGGCUAUCCACAUGCUCCCUAUCUUCAAUAACUACAUUCUCCAUAGCCUCUUCAAAAACCCGGCUAUCCGCAUUCUCAAUAGCCUCUUCUACACUAUUAGCCUCUUCAAUAAUCGGUUCAUCAUUCACACAAUUACCUCCUGCAGCUUCUCCUCUAAAAACCGUCACUACUUCACCAUUCUCCACAUCAAAUGCAUUCAACUCCUCAUAAUUAACACCAACUGAACUUCUUCUCUCUACCCUUGAAAUUUGUUCCACCCUCUCAGAUUCUUUAUUUACUACCUCCACGUUCAAAGCUGGUCUAAUUCCCUUAGCAUUCACUACCGUUAGAUAACCUAAAAAGUCAUCAUCAUCUACAAUAGAUGUCUCUCUCUGAGAUGUGCAUAGAAUAUAACUAAAUUUCACCUUCCUUGAGGUUUCAUCUAUUCCAAUCUUCUUGCAUAUCUUUUCUACUAACAUAGAGUAUGUUACCUUUGACGUCCUCAACAAUACACCGCUUAAAGAAUUGUUUGAAAUCCACUCAUGCUCUUCUGAAUAAUACCCAUUGUCAAAUUGUAUGAAUGUGUGCUUGUUCUUCAUCGUCUCCUGUAAUUACAAAUAAAUU
Molecule: small RNA, 1608 nt
Filed under: Arabidopsis thaliana (thale cress)
Lineage: Eukaryota; Viridiplantae; Streptophyta; Magnoliopsida; Brassicales; Brassicaceae
Description: ATSL043110
Source: RNAcentral